AAAAUUUUAAGUUAUAUAAACUAUUAGUCUUCAAAACUAAAAAUGAAAAAAAUUCAAAUUUUG
RNAcentral lists this transfer RNA (63 nucleotides) under Gesiella jameensis. RNAcentral describes it as "tRNA-Trp". The record is from RNAcentral. Lineage: Eukaryota; Metazoa; Annelida; Polychaeta; Phyllodocida; Polynoidae.